AACGAACGCUGGCGGCAUGCCUAACACAUGCAAGUCGAACGAUGCUUUCGGGCUUAGUGGCGCACGGGUGCGUAACGCGUGGGAAUCUGCCCUUGGGUUCGGAAUAACAGUGAGAAAUUGCUGCUAAUACCGGAUGAUGUCUUCGGACCAAAGAUUUAUCGCCCAGGGAUGAGCCCGCGUAGGAUUAGCUAGUUGGUGGGGUAAUGGCCUACCAAGGCGACGAUCCUUAGCUGGUCUGAGAGGAUGAUCAGCCACACUGGGACUGAGACACGGCCCAGACUCCUACGGGAGGCAGCAGUGGGGAAUAUUGGACAAUGGGCGCAAGCCUGAUCCAGCAAUGCCGCGUGAGUGAUGAAGGCCUUAGGGUUGUAAAGCUCUUUUACCCGGGAUGAUAAUGACAGUACCGGGAGAAUAAGCUCCGGCUAACUCCGUG
RNAcentral lists this ribosomal RNA (433 nucleotides) under uncultured bacterium. RNAcentral's name for it is "partial 16S ribosomal RNA". It matches the Rfam family "Bacterial small subunit ribosomal RNA", at positions 29 to 507 of the family's 1533-position model. The record is from RNAcentral.